This 305-nucleotide ribosomal RNA is filed under the name uncultured bacterium. RNAcentral's name for it is "bacterial SSU rRNA". It matches the Rfam family "Bacterial small subunit ribosomal RNA", at positions 336 to 638 of the family's 1533-position model. The record is from RNAcentral.
CGCCUACGGGAGGCAGCAGUGAGGAAUAUUGGUCAAUGGGCGGGAGCCUGAACCAGCCAAGUCGCGUGAGGGAAGACGGUCCUAUGGAUUGUAAACCUCUUUAGGCGGGGAGCAAUGCCGGGCACGCGUGCCCGGAGGGAGAGUACCCGCAGAAUAAGCAUCGGCUAACUCCGUGCCAGCAGCCGCGGUAAUACGGAGGAUGCGAGCGUUAUCCGGAUUUAUUGGGUUUAAAGGGUGCGCAGGCGGAAUGUCAAGUCAGCGGUAAAAUUUCGGGGCUCAACCCAGUCGUGCCGUUGAAACUGGCG